This 1036-nucleotide ribosomal RNA is filed under the name Boana sp. 3 ML-2020. RNAcentral's name for it is "partial 16S ribosomal RNA". It matches the Rfam family "Bacterial large subunit ribosomal RNA", at positions 941 to 2597 of the family's 2925-position model. Lineage: Eukaryota; Metazoa; Chordata; Amphibia; Anura; Hylidae. The record is from RNAcentral.
AAGCCCCCAACAAGUACUAUAAACUAAUACUAAUGCUUUAGAGUUAUUCAAAUAAGGUACAGCCUGUUUGAACAAGGAAACAACCUGAACUAAUGGGUUAGUUUUGCCAUAAUGUACCAAAGUGGGCCUAAAAGCAGCCAUCUUAUAAAAAUAGCGUCAAAGCUUUCCUACAUGCGCACACCAAUUUCUUAACCUAAUCUAAACCCUUUAUUUUCAUCGAGUACUUCUAUACACCUAUAGAAUAUAAAAUGUUAAAACUAGUAACAAGAAGAAAAUUCUUCUCUUAAAUGUCAGUGUAAGCCAGAAAGGAUAAACCACUGUCAAUUAACACUAAUGAUUUUUAAUUAGUAACACCACAAGAAACCCCUAAUAAAACAAAUGUUAAACUGACACAAGAACAUUUCAAGAAAGAUUAAAAGAAAAAGAAGGAACUCGGCAAAUACCAACCCCGCCUGUUUACCAAAAACAUCGCCUCUUGACAAACAUAAGAGGUCCAGCCUGCCCAGUGACCUAGUUCAACGGCCGCGGUAUCCUAACCGUGCGAAGGUAGCGUAAUCACUUGUUCUUUAAAUGAGGACUAGUAUGAAUGGCACCACGAGGGUUACACUGUCUCCUUUUUUUAAUCAGUGAAACUAAUCUUCCCGUGAAGAAGCGGGAGUUUUUUUAUAAGACGAGAAGACCCUAUGGAGCUUUAAACAAAUUUACACUUGCUGCCUAAAAUUACUCUUCCAGAAACACAAUAUACAGCAUAGCAUCAUGAUUAAUAGUUUUCGAUUGGGGUGAUCACGGAGUAAAAAAUAACCUCCAUGCCGAAGGGGCCCUCCCCUGAGCAAAAAGCCACAACUUUAAGCACUAAAAAAAUUAACGUUUAUUGACCCAAUAUUUUGAUCAACGAACCAAGUUACCCUAGGGAUAACAGCGCAAUCCACUUCAAGAGCUCCUAUCGACAAGUGGGUUUACGACCUCGAUGUUGGAUCAGGGUACCCCAGUGGUGCAGCCGCUACUAACGGUUCGUUUGUUCAACGAUUAAAACCCU